This 1561-nucleotide ribosomal RNA is filed under the name Enterococcus faecium. RNAcentral describes it as "bacterial SSU rRNA". It matches the Rfam family "Bacterial small subunit ribosomal RNA". RNAcentral also lists the same sequence under 1 other name. The record is from RNAcentral. Lineage: Bacteria; Bacillati; Bacillota; Bacilli; Lactobacillales; Enterococcaceae.
UUUUAUGAGAGUUUGAUCCUGGCUCAGGACGAACGCUGGCGGCGUGCCUAAUACAUGCAAGUCGUACGCUUCUUUUUCCACCGGAGCUUGCUCCACCGGAAAAAGAAGAGUGGCGAACGGGUGAGUAACACGUGGGUAACCUGCCCAUCAGAAGGGGAUAACACUUGGAAACAGGUGCUAAUACCGUAUAACAAUCGAAACCGCAUGGUUUUGAUUUGAAAGGCGCUUUCGGGUGUCGCUGAUGGAUGGACCCGCGGUGCAUUAGCUAGUUGGUGAGGUAACGGCUCACCAAGGCCACGAUGCAUAGCCGACCUGAGAGGGUGAUCGGCCACAUUGGGACUGAGACACGGCCCAAACUCCUACGGGAGGCAGCAGUAGGGAAUCUUCGGCAAUGGACGAAAGUCUGACCGAGCAACGCCGCGUGAGUGAAGAAGGUUUUCGGAUCGUAAAACUCUGUUGUUAGAGAAGAACAAGGAUGAGAGUAACUGUUCAUCCCUUGACGGUAUCUAACCAGAAAGCCACGGCUAACUACGUGCCAGCAGCCGCGGUAAUACGUAGGUGGCAAGCGUUGUCCGGAUUUAUUGGGCGUAAAGCGAGCGCAAGCGGUUUCUUAAGUCUGAUGUGAAAGCCCCCGGCUCAACCGGGGAGGGUCAUUGGAAACUGGGAGACUUGAGUGCAGAAGAGGAGAGUGGAAUUCCAUGUGUAGCGGUGAAAUGCGUAGAUAUAUGGAGGAACACCAGUGGCGAAGGCGGCUCUCUGGUCUGUAACUGACGCUGAGGCUCGAAAGCGUGGGGAGCAAACAGGAUUAGAUACCCUGGUAGUCCACGCCGUAAACGAUGAGUGCUAAGUGUUGGAGGGUUUCCGCCCUUCAGUGCUGCAGCUAACGCAUUAAGCACUCCGCCUGGGGAGUACGACCGCAAGGUUGAAACUCAAAGGAAUUGACGGGGGCCCGCACAAGCGGUGGAGCAUGUGGUUUAAUUCGAAGCAACGCGAAGAACCUUACCAGGUCUUGACAUCCUUUGACCACUCUAGAGAUAGAGCUUCCCCUUCGGGGGCAAAGUGACAGGUGGUGCAUGGUUGUCGUCAGCUCGUGUCGUGAGAUGUUGGGUUAAGUCCCGCAACGAGCGCAACCCUUAUUGUUAGUUGCCAUCAUUCAGUUGGGCACUCUAGCAAGACUGCCGGUGACAAACCGGAGGAAGGUGGGGAUGACGUCAAAUCAUCAUGCCCCUUAUGACCUGGGCUACACACGUGCUACAAUGGGAAGUACAACGAGUCGCGAAGUCGCGAGGCUAAGCUAAUCUCUUAAAGCUUCUCUCAGUUCGGAUUGCAGGCUGCAACUCGCCUGCAUGAAGCCGGAAUCGCUAGUAAUCGCGGAUCAGCACGCCGCGGUGAAUACGUUCCCGGGCCUUGUACACACCGCCCGUCACACCACGAGAGUUUGUAACACCCGAAGUCGGUGAGGUAACCUUUUUGGAGCCAGCCGCCUAAGGUGGGAUAGAUGAUUGGGGUGAAGUCGUAACAAGGUAGCCGUAUCGGAAGGUGCGGCUGGAUCACCUCCUUU